AAGGGAGACCUAAUUCAGGUAGGAGACGAAAAAAAAGUAGUCGCUACCAAGAAUCAAUCCCAAAAGGUCGGAGCGAGGCGAAAUUGGCUUUCAAACUAGGUUCUGGGUUCAAACAAGACCUGAAUCAGGAACAAGGGCUAUUAGCUCAGGUGGUUAGAGCGCACCCCUGAUAAGGGUGAGGUCCCUGGUUCGAGUCCAGGAUGGCCCACCUGCACAGGUGGCAAAAACAAGAGAAGCGAGGAAUCAGCACCUUAUCUUAUCUAUAUAUAAGAGAGAAUGCUGGCUCUGAGUAAAGAGUCCAGAGGAACCUUGAAAACUGCAUAGAGCUAGGUGAAAAAGCCAAAAAAGAAGACCGCAA
RNAcentral lists this transfer RNA (358 nucleotides) under uncultured Microcystis sp. RNAcentral describes it as "partial 16S-23S ribosomal RNA intergenic spacer". The stretch from base 135 to 208 matches the Rfam family "tRNA". Lineage: Bacteria; Bacillati; Cyanobacteriota; Cyanophyceae; Chroococcales; Microcystaceae. The record is from RNAcentral.